Molecule: long non-coding RNA, 201 nt
Filed under: Rattus norvegicus (Norway rat)
Lineage: Eukaryota; Metazoa; Chordata; Mammalia; Rodentia; Muridae
Description: long non-coding RNA NONRATT029560
Source: RNAcentral
CAGAAGACUGGAGUGCGCAGCCAGCCACUGAGGACUGCUCAGCAGCUCCCACAGCACAGGCCACUGAGUGGGUUGGAGCCACCACUGAGUGGUCCUGAGCUGCUCUGCAGACACCUGAGCAAGGGGGUGGGGGUGGUGGAAGGAAAAUAAAGUCCCUAAAAUCUUAAAAAAAAAAAAAAAAAAAAAAAGGAAAGUGAAGGG